CCUACGGGAGGCAGCAGUAAGGAAUAUUGGACAAUGGUGGCAACACUGAUCCAGCCAUGCCGCGUGCAGGAUGACGGUUCUAUGAAUUGUAAACUGCUUUUAUACGGGAAAAACCCUCAGAACGUGAUUCUGAGCUGAUUGUACUGUAAGAAUAAGGAUCGGCUAACUUCGUGCCAGCAGCCGCGGUAAGACGAAGGAUCCAAGCGUUAUCCGGAUUUAUUGGGUUUAAAGGGUGCGUAGGCGGACUCAUAAGUCAGUGGUGAAAUCCCAAAGCUUAACUUUGGAACUGCCAUUGAUACUGUAAGUCUUGAGUAUGUUUGAAGUGGGCGGAAUGUAUUGUGUAGCGGUGAAAUGCUUAGAUAUAAUGCAGAACACCAAUUGCGAAGGCAGCUCACUAAACCAUAACUGACGCUGAGGCACGAAAGCAUGGGGAGCAAACAGGAUUAGAUACCCUGGUAGUCCAUGCCCUAAACGAUGAAUACUCGAUAUGUGCGAUAUACAGUACGUGUCUAAGCGAAAGCAUUAAGAUUCCACCUGGGGAGUACGCUCGCAAGAGUGAAACUCAAAGGAAUUGAACGGCGNGAGAGNGCGACGGACGACACGAGGGGAGGAGG
RNAcentral lists this ribosomal RNA (614 nucleotides) under uncultured bacterium. RNAcentral's name for it is "bacterial SSU rRNA". It matches the Rfam family "Bacterial small subunit ribosomal RNA", at positions 338 to 954 of the family's 1533-position model. The record is from RNAcentral.